This 253-nucleotide ribosomal RNA is filed under the name uncultured bacterium. RNAcentral describes it as "partial 16S ribosomal RNA". It matches the Rfam family "Bacterial small subunit ribosomal RNA", at positions 524 to 776 of the family's 1533-position model. The record is from RNAcentral.
UACGUAGGUGGCAAGCGUUAUCCGGAAUUAUUGGGCGUAAAGAGCGCGCAGGUGGUUAAUUAAGUCUGAUGUGAAAGCCCACGGCUUAACCGUGGAGGGUCAUUGGAAACUGGUUGACUUGAGUGCAGAAGAGGGAAGUGGAAUUCCAUGUGUAGCGGUGAAAUGCGUAGAGAUAUGGAGGAACACCAGUGGCGAAGGUGGCUUCCUGGUCUGCAACUGACACUGAGGCGCGAAAGCGUGGGGAGCAAACAGG